RNAcentral lists this small RNA (56 nucleotides) under Caenorhabditis elegans. Its description in RNAcentral is "Unclassified non-coding RNA Y10G11A.92". The record is from RNAcentral. Lineage: Eukaryota; Metazoa; Nematoda; Chromadorea; Rhabditida; Rhabditidae.
UUGAGACAGUUUCAAAUUAAAGAAAAUAAUGCCUUCGAAGAUUGGAAUUGCCAAAA